RNAcentral lists this ribosomal RNA (407 nucleotides) under uncultured bacterium. RNAcentral describes it as "partial 16S ribosomal RNA". It matches the Rfam family "Bacterial small subunit ribosomal RNA", at positions 28 to 526 of the family's 1533-position model. The record is from RNAcentral.
GACGAACGCUGGCGGCGUGCCUAAUACAUGCAAGUAGAACGCAGUUUCGAACGGGUGAGUAACGCGUAGGUAACUGCCUCAUAGCGGGGGAUAACUAUUUGAAACGAUAGCUAAUACCGCAUACUGUGAGAUGGACCUGCGUUGUAUUAGCUAGUUGGUGAGGUAAAGGCUCACCAAGGCGCCGAUACAUAGCCUACCUGAGAGGGUGAACGGCCAAACUGGGAAUGAGGAACGGCCCAGAAUCCCAACGGAGGCAGCAGGAGGGAAUCUUCGGACAUGGACGGAAGUCUGACCGAGGAACGCCGCGUGAGUGAAGAAGGUUUUCGGAUCGUAAAGCUCUGUUGUUAGAGAAGCGGUAACUAAACAGAAAGGGACGGCUAACUACGUGCCAGCCGCCGCGGUAAUUC